CAGUCGCCGCGGGAAUACGUAGGUGGCAAGCGUUGUCCGGAAUUAUUGGGCGUAAAGGGCUCGCAGGCGGUUUCUUAAGUCUGAUGUGAAAGCCCCCGGCUCAACCGGGGAGGGUCAUUGGAAACUGGGAAACUUGAGUGCAGAAGAGGAGAGUGGAAUUCCACGUGUAGCGGUGAAAUGCGUAGAGAUGUGGAGGAACACCAGUGGCGAAGGCGACUCCCUGGUCUGUAACUGACGCUGAGGAGCGAAAGCGUGGGGAGCGAACAGGAUUAGAUACCCGCGUAGUCCCUGUCUCUUAUAC
This 301-nucleotide ribosomal RNA is filed under the name uncultured bacterium. RNAcentral's name for it is "partial 16S ribosomal RNA". It matches the Rfam family "Bacterial small subunit ribosomal RNA", at positions 509 to 807 of the family's 1533-position model. The record is from RNAcentral.